Schizosaccharomyces pombe (fission yeast) is the source of this 595-nucleotide non-coding RNA. The record is from the annotation of a GenBank genome assembly. NCBI's taxonomy places the organism in Eukaryota, Fungi, Ascomycota, Schizosaccharomycetes, Schizosaccharomycetales, Schizosaccharomycetaceae.
AUAAAGACCACCAGCAGGUCCACCUUCGUCCUUCGUUUUUAAAACCUUUUCACGAGCUUGCCGAAAGUCGUCCAUAACAACUCGCAUUCGGCGUUCACGCAGAGCAAGCAAACCAGCUUCAGAAACGAUUGCUUUAAUUUCUGCACCAGAUAAAUCAUCUUUGCAUUGAAUUAACUCUUCUAAAUUAACAUCCUCGCCCAAAUUCAUCUUGGAAGUGUGAAUGGUAAAAAUUUUACGUUUCGUAGCUUCAUCAGGAUUCUCGAAAAGAAUUUUGCGGUCAAUACGACCUGGACGAAUAAGAGCCGGAUCAAGAUCGCUGAUACGGUUAGUAGCCAUAAUAACCUUAAUAUCACGCUGACUCGUAUCGAAUCCAUCCAACUGAUUGAGUAACUCAAGCAUAGUACGUUGAAUUUCUCGUUCAGCACCCGACUGGGCAUCGUAACGCUUUGUACCUAUAGCAUCAAUUUCAUCAAUAAAAACAAUAGAGGGCGAAUGUUCUUCGGCAGCAUUAAAUAAUUGUCUCACAAGACGGGGACCAUCACCUAAAUAUUUUUGAAUAAGUUCAGAACCAACGACACGCAAGAACGUAGCAGAA